Molecule: ribosomal RNA, 465 nt
Filed under: Vreelandella stevensii
Lineage: Bacteria; Pseudomonadati; Pseudomonadota; Gammaproteobacteria; Oceanospirillales; Halomonadaceae
Description: partial 16S ribosomal RNA
Rfam family: Bacterial small subunit ribosomal RNA
Source: RNAcentral
CCUACGGGUGGCAGCAGUGGGGAAUAUUGGACAAUGGGGGCAACCCUGAUCCAGCCAUGCCGCGUGUGUGAAGAAGGCCCUCGGGUUGUAAAGCACUUUCAGUGAGGAAGAACGCCUGGUGGUUAAUACCCAUCAGGAAAGACAUCACUCACAGAAGAAGCACCGGCUAACUCCGUGCCAGCAGCCGCGGUAAUACGGAGGGUGCGAGCGUUAAUCGGAAUUACUGGGCGUAAAGCGCGCGUAGGUGGCUUGAUAAGCCGGUUGUGAAAGCCCCGGGCUCAACCUGGGAACGGCAUCCGGAACUGUCAAGCUAGAGUGCAGGAGAGGAAGGUAGAAUUCCCGGUGUAGCGGUGAAAUGCGUAGAGAUCGGGAGGAAUACCAGUGGCGAAGGCGGCCUUCUGGACUGACCCUGACACUGAGGUGCGAAAGCGUGGGUAGCAAACAGGAUUAGAUACCCCGGUAGUC